This is a non-coding RNA of Podarcis lilfordi (Lilford's wall lizard), 271 nucleotides long. NCBI's taxonomy places the organism in Eukaryota, Metazoa, Chordata, Lepidosauria, Squamata, Lacertidae. The record is from the annotation of a GenBank genome assembly.
AAAAAUCUGCCCUUUUUCCCUUAUGGGGUAUCCAAGAGCCCAUAUAGAGUCCUUACGUAGGUUCCCUAUUGGUAGGAGAAAAUAACAGAGGCCAACCAGAGAAUAUUGAGAAGCAAAGCAGCUAGUAAGCCUGAUCUUUAUUGAUCUGUUGCAACAGGGUGCUCCCCUCACACGCAGGAAAGGAGGAGGAACCCAGAACAAUGGCGCACAAGGCCUUAUAAAGACUUUUGAAAUUGCCACCCUGGAGAUCCAGACCACCCCCAGAAACAUC